RNAcentral lists this ribosomal RNA (467 nucleotides) under uncultured bacterium. RNAcentral's name for it is "bacterial SSU rRNA". It matches the Rfam family "Bacterial small subunit ribosomal RNA", at positions 338 to 795 of the family's 1533-position model. The record is from RNAcentral.
CCUACGGGGGGCUGCAGUCGAGAAUAGUCUACAAUGGUCGAAAGACUGAUAGUGCGACGCCGCGUGAACGAAGAAGCCCUUCGGGGUGUAAAGUUCUUUUAUAUGUGAGCAAUGCCAGAUAGGUGAAUAGUCUGUUUGGAGCGAUAUUAGCAUAUGAAUAAGCAACGGCUAACUCCGUGCCAGCAGCCGCGGUAACACGGGGGUUGCAAGCGUUGUCCGGAAUUACUAGGCGUAAAGGGCAGGUAGGCGGAUCUAUAAGUUUAAUGUUAAAGGCGACGGCUUACCCGUCGUAAGGCGUUAGAUACUGUAGAUCUGGAAUACGGUUGGGGAAGACAGAAUUCCUGGUGUAGCGGUGGAAUGCGCAGAUAUCAGGAGGAAUACCGAAGGCGAAGGCAGUCUUCUAAGCCGUUAUUGACGCUAAACUGCGAAGGUGUGGGUAUCAAACAGGAUUAGAUACCCCAGUAGUC